RNAcentral lists this small nuclear RNA (79 nucleotides) under Erinaceus europaeus (western European hedgehog). Its description in RNAcentral is "U2 spliceosomal RNA". It matches the Rfam family "U2 spliceosomal RNA", at positions 1 to 63 of the family's 192-position model. Rfam says of the family: U2 is a small nuclear RNA (snRNA) component of the spliceosome (involved in pre-mRNA splicing). Complementary binding between U2 snRNA (in an area lying towards the 5' end but 3' to hairpin I) and the branchpoint sequence (BPS) of the intron results the bulging out of an unpaired adenosine, on the BPS, which initiates a nucleophilic attack at the intronic 5' splice site, thus starting the first of two transesterification reactions that mediate splicing. Lineage: Eukaryota; Metazoa; Chordata; Mammalia; Eulipotyphla; Erinaceidae. The record is from Rfam by way of RNAcentral.
AUUGCUUCUCGGCCUUUUGGCUAAGAUCAAAUGUAGUAUAUGUUCUUAUCAGAAAUGGAGAGAGAAAGAAAGACACUUG